RNAcentral lists this ribosomal RNA (478 nucleotides) under uncultured bacterium. RNAcentral's name for it is "partial 16S ribosomal RNA". It matches the Rfam family "Bacterial small subunit ribosomal RNA", at positions 28 to 523 of the family's 1533-position model. The record is from RNAcentral.
GACGAACGCUGGCGGCGUGCUUAACACAUGCAAGUCGAACGGUAAGGCCCUUCGGGGUACACGAGUGGCGAACGGGUGAGUAACACGUGGGUGAUCUGCCCUGCACUUCGGGAUAAGCCUGGGAAACUGGGUCUAAUACCGGAUAGGACCACUGCCUGCAUGGGUGGUGGUGGAAAGCUUUUGCGGUGUGGGAUGGGCCCGCGGCCUAUCAGCUUGUUGGUGGGGUGAUGGCCUACCAAGGCGACGACGGGGAGCCGGCCUGAGAGGGUGACCGGCCACACGGGGACUGAGAUACGGCCCAGACUCCUACGGGAGGCAGCGGUGGGGAAUAUUGCACAAUGGGCGCAAGCCUGAUGCAGCGACGCCGCGUGAGGGAUGACGGCCUUCGGGUUGUAAACCUCUUUCAGCACCGACGAAGCGCAAGUGACGGUAGGUGCAGAAGAAGGACCGGCCAACUACGUGCCAGCCGCCGCGGUAA